GACGGAGGGGGCUAGCGUUGUUCGGAAUUACUGGGCGUAAAGCGCGCGUAGGCGGACCUGCAAGUCGGGGGUGAAAGCCCGAGGCUCAACCUCGGAACUGCCUUCGAUACUGCGGGUCUCGAGUCCGAGAGAGGUGAGUGGAAUUCCUAGUGUAGAGGUGAAAGUCGUAGAUAUUAGGAAGAACACCAGUGGCGAAGGCGGCUCACUGGCUCGGUACUGACGCUGAGGCGCGAAAGCGUGGGGAGCAAACAGG
RNAcentral lists this ribosomal RNA (253 nucleotides) under uncultured bacterium. Its description in RNAcentral is "partial 16S ribosomal RNA". It matches the Rfam family "Bacterial small subunit ribosomal RNA", at positions 524 to 776 of the family's 1533-position model. The record is from RNAcentral.